Molecule: ribosomal RNA, 412 nt
Filed under: Torrea sp. JE-2010
Lineage: Eukaryota; Metazoa; Annelida; Polychaeta; Phyllodocida; Alciopedidae
Description: partial 16S ribosomal RNA
Rfam family: Bacterial large subunit ribosomal RNA
Source: RNAcentral
CCCAGUGAUAAAUUAUUUAACGGCCGCGGUAUUUUGACCGUGCAAAGGUAGCAUAAUCAUUUGCCUUUUAAUUGGAGGCUGGAAUGAAUGGAUAUAUGAAAUUAUAACUGUCUCCUAAUUAUGUAUAAAAAUUAUCUUAUAGGUGAAGAGACCUAUAUAUUAAUAAAAGACAAAAAGACCCUAUUGAUCUUUAUUCUUAUAAGAUUUUUUAGAAUUAAUAACUUUAUAACUUAAUAGAAUUUGGUUGGGGCGACUAAGAAAUAUAUAAAUCUUUCUUUAUUUUAAUGAAUAUCUUUUCUUAUUAAUGAUCUAUUUUUUUUUUAAUAAAUGGAAAUAGUUACCAUAGGGAUAACAGGCUAAUUUUUUUGGAGAGUUCAUAUUGAUAAAAAAGUUUGGCACCUCAAUUUUGGCU